This 23-nucleotide microRNA is filed under the name Branchiostoma lanceolatum (amphioxus). Its description in RNAcentral is "Bla-Mir-4872-P18_5p (mature (guide))". The record is from RNAcentral. Lineage: Eukaryota; Metazoa; Chordata; Leptocardii; Amphioxiformes; Branchiostomatidae.
UGCCGGGGCAAUAAAAACUCUGA